This 340-nucleotide ribosomal RNA is filed under the name Pseudoctomeris sulcata. Its description in RNAcentral is "partial 12S ribosomal RNA". The record is from RNAcentral. Lineage: Eukaryota; Metazoa; Arthropoda; Thecostraca; Balanomorpha; Chthamalidae.
UGUUACUUAUAGUGAUUAUUUUUUGGAAUAUUAAUAUUAAUGAAAUUUAACGGAUUUGGCGGCAAGACAGCCCAUUUAGAGGAACCUGCCCUAUAAACGAUGAUCCACGAUAAACCUUACUUUUGUUAGUUAACAGUUUGUAUACCGCUGUUGUCAGUCAGUUUUUUUAGAAAACUUUCAAUAAUGGGAUUUCCAUUGACUUCAAGUAAAGGUGCAGCUUAUGCAAAAGAUAGAGGUGGGUUACAAUUAUGAGAUUAAUACGGAUGAAACACAGGAAGAGUUUUCUGAAGGUGGAUUUAAUAGUAAAACUUAUAAUGGUUUGAUAUGAGCACUGUCUUGU